This 492-nucleotide ribosomal RNA is filed under the name uncultured bacterium. Its description in RNAcentral is "partial 16S ribosomal RNA". It matches the Rfam family "Bacterial small subunit ribosomal RNA", at positions 29 to 507 of the family's 1533-position model. The record is from RNAcentral.
AGCGAACGCUGGCGGUAGGCCUAACACAUGCAAGUCGAACGGCAGCACAGUAAGAGCUUGCUCUUACGGGUGGCGAGUGGCGGACGGGUGAGGAAUACAUCGGAAUCUACUUUUUCGUGGGGGAUAACGUAGGGAAACUUACGCUAAUACCGCAUACGACCUACGGGUGAAAGCAGGGGAUCUUCGGACCUUGCGCGAUUGAAUGAGCCGAUGUCGGAUUAGCUAGUUGGCGGGGUAAAGGCCCACCAAGGCGACGAUCCGUAGCUGGUCUGAGAGGAUGAUCAGCCACACGGGAACUGAGACACGGUCCAGACUCCUACGGGAGGCAGCAGUGGGGAAUAUUGGACAAUGGGCGCAAGCCUGAUCCAGCCAUACCGCGUGGGUGAAGAAGGCCUUCGGGUUGUAAAGCCCUUUUGUUGGGAAAGAAAAGCAGCAGGUUAAUACCCCGCUGUUCUGACGGUACCCAAAGAAUAAGCACCGGCUAACUUCGUG